Molecule: ribosomal RNA, 305 nt
Filed under: uncultured bacterium
Lineage: Bacteria
Description: bacterial SSU rRNA
Rfam family: Bacterial small subunit ribosomal RNA
Source: RNAcentral
UUCCUACGGGGCGCAGCAGUGAGGAAUAUUGGUCAAUGGGAGGAAUCCUGAACCAGCCAUGCCGCGUGCAGGACGACGGCUCUACGAGUUGUAAACUGCUUUUGUACCGGGGUAAAAUGCCUUACGAGUAGGGUUUUGAAAGUACGGUACGAAUAAGCAUCGGCUAACUCCGUGCCAGCAGCCGCGGUAAUACGGAGGAUGCGAGCGUUAUCCGGAUUUAUUGGGUUUAAAGGGUGCGUAGGCGGUUUGUCAAGUCAGCGGUAAAAAUUCCGGGCUCAACCCGGUCCCGCCGUUGAAACUGGCGA